GCGACCGUGGUGUAGUGGUUAGCAUUAACGCCUUCCAUUCGAAAGAACUGGCAGCGUUAGAGAGGGGUUCGAUUCCCCUCGGUCGCA
This is a non-coding RNA of Fusarium poae, 87 nucleotides long. The record is from Rfam. NCBI's taxonomy places the organism in Eukaryota, Fungi, Ascomycota, Sordariomycetes, Hypocreales, Nectriaceae.